AAGACAGAGACAAGGUCCUAACGGGGAGUGUGUGAUGGUGAUGUCAUCAGGCAGGUAAAGGUGCAGAUCUCUGGGAGGCAGACCCCUUUGACCCCCCCCCGUCUUUCAUGACGCCUCUGCAAGGAAGCAUAAAAUCAUAAAACUGAAACUAAACUUCAAACUUCAGGUUACUGCUGAACGAUUCAGUCUUUCAGAGAGAAUAAAGACAUCAUGGCUGUGACUCUGAACAGUUUUAAAUGCUCCUUUUUCAAUCUAGACGGUUUACAUUUAUCCAACCAGUCUCUGGUGAUGAUUGUUGUGGUUCUGGCGGCAGCAUGGUACUGGUAUUACCACUGGCUAGGACAUUGAAGAGAAAAGCGGGAGUAAAACAAAAUGAGUCUUUUUGAAAUUCCUGCUAAAGCAUCGUUGGAUUCCUGACUCUGUAAUAAACACAAACAUGGCAGACA
This is a non-coding RNA of Labrus bergylta (ballan wrasse), 446 nucleotides long. Lineage: Eukaryota; Metazoa; Chordata; Actinopteri; Labriformes; Labridae. The record is from RefSeq and is a predicted model, not a curated record.